RNAcentral lists this ribosomal RNA (483 nucleotides) under Lomentospora prolificans. Its description in RNAcentral is "Scedosporium prolificans Eukaryotic small subunit ribosomal RNA". It matches the Rfam family "Eukaryotic small subunit ribosomal RNA", at positions 207 to 690 of the family's 1831-position model. The record is from Rfam by way of RNAcentral. Lineage: Eukaryota; Fungi; Ascomycota; Sordariomycetes; Microascales; Microascaceae.
UUAUUAGAUUAAAAGCCAACGCCCUUCGGGGCUUCCUGGUGAUUCAUAAUAACUUUUCGAAUCGCAUGGCCUUGCGCCGGCGAUGGUUCAUUCAAAUUUCUUCCCUAUCAACUUUCGAUGCGAAGGUAUUGUCUUCGCAUGGUUGCAACGGGUAACGGAGGGUUAGGGCUCGACCCCGGAGAAGGAGCCUGAGAAACGGCUACUACAUCCAAGGAAGGCAGCAGGCGCGCAAAUUACCCAAUCCCGACACGGGGAGGUAGUGACAAUAAAUACUGAUACAGGGCUCUUUUGGGUCUUGUAAUCGGAAUGAGUACAAUUUAAAUCCCUUAACGAGGAACAAUUGGAGGGCAAGUCUGGUGCCAGCAGCCGCGGUAAUUCCAGCUCCAAUAGCGUAUAUUAAAGUUGUUGUGGUUAAAAAGCUCGUAGUUGAACCUUGGGCCUGGCUGGCCGGUCCCCCUCACCGGGUGCACUGAUCCAGCCGGG